AUGGAGUCAGCAACUGAUGGUCAGCAACAGGAGUCAUCGGACCGACCCAAGAGAGACCCUCGUCCACCUGCACAUUUGGCCCAGUACGAAGUCAAUUUUCUGCCCUAUCAACAGCCUGUGGUCCAAGCCUCUUCUACCCCUGUAGGACAACCAGACCAGGCUCAGUCAACCAGAGCUAGGAGUUUGACAAGUUACCGGUCAGCUGCACAUUCACGACGGUCCUCUCAGUUAUCUUACGGACUCCAUCUGUUUCGAAGUACGUCUGAUAUACAAGAAGCUGCUUUAGAGGAGGAGAUCAAAGGAUUGGAGCUAGCUGACCUACAACAGGAAAUAGAAGAGGAAAGGAAAGCUGACUUAGAAGCGGCAGCAUUGGAUGCACAAGCCAGAGAAGGACAGCGGCUGCAAGAGGAAGCACAUCUGGCUAAAGAGAGAAUAGCUAGAGAGAUGGGAAGACGCAGGCGUUUAAAGAAACUCGAGAAGGAGGUGCACAUUGCCAGUCUUGUAAAGACCUACCUGACAGGGACGAAUAAUGAAUCCUUGUCUACGUCGUCAGCUCCUGCUACGUUCUCCAAGCUACCUCUGCCAUCACAAUUGGUUCAACAGCCACCUCGGGUGCAAUUAAUCCCCAAGCAGCAUCCACCUGUGCAACAGCCAAAUCCAGAGCCAGUUCAGAUAACACCUCUCUCCACUGUUCCUACUCAGAUAUUAGCACCACCUGCUAAUCCCGUCACGAGUGCCCAGAUCAGUUUUCCUGUCAGCGCAGCACCGAUUGCAGUACCAGUCUCUGGACUUCCAUCUGUACCUGUCCCAUUCGUUCCCGUCCUGUCCACAGUACAGACAGGUGGAGCGUCACCGAUGGCAAGGUCUUCUGUCACAACUAAUCUACCGUCUCAGUACCUAGGGGCUCCAGCUACCAGUACAAGCUUCACAAUGCCACCACAAGCAGUUACAGUGGCACCGCCACCUCCUGCAGUGCAGUAUACUCACCGCAGUAUACCAACUGCAACACCAGUUCAGACGGCACCACCCUGGACCUACCCGGGUAUGGAAACCCUGAUUGCUACAUCUUACGGCAUUCCCAAACCAACACUUCCCUUCUUCGAGAGCGGCAGAGAAAGUGAUUUCGCACUUUUGAAGAUGGCGCUCGACAACUUGAUGAAUAGUCACCCUCAUCUCAGCGAGCACUAUAAAUAUCAAGUUCUCCUGAGUCAGCUCAAGCUUCAGAGUGCU
This is a long non-coding RNA of Cyprinus carpio (common carp), 1230 nucleotides long. Lineage: Eukaryota; Metazoa; Chordata; Actinopteri; Cypriniformes; Cyprinidae. The record is from Ensembl.